RNAcentral lists this transfer RNA (69 nucleotides) under Caudoviricetes sp. Its description in RNAcentral is "tRNA-Met". It matches the Rfam family "tRNA". From Rfam's summary of the family: Transfer RNA (tRNA) molecules are approximately 80 nucleotides in length. Lineage: Duplodnaviria; Heunggongvirae; Uroviricota; Caudoviricetes. The record is from RNAcentral.
GCGGAGGUGGAGCAAUGGUAGCUCACUAGACUCAUAAUCUAGAGACGAGGUUCGAAUCCUACGUCCGCA